RNAcentral lists this ribosomal RNA (579 nucleotides) under Bacillus anthracis (anthrax bacterium). Its description in RNAcentral is "bacterial LSU rRNA". It matches the Rfam family "Bacterial large subunit ribosomal RNA", at positions 1 to 569 of the family's 2925-position model. Lineage: Bacteria; Bacillati; Bacillota; Bacilli; Caryophanales; Bacillaceae. The record is from RNAcentral.
GUUUGGUUAAGUUAGAAAGGGCGCACGGUGGAUGCCUUGACACUAGGAGUCGAUGAAGGACGGGACUAACGCCGAUAUGCUUCGGGGAGCUGUAAGUAAGCUUUGAUCCGAAGAUUUCCGAAUGGGGAAACCCACCAUACGUAAUGGUAUGGUAUCCUUAUCUGAAUACAUAGGGUAAGGAAGACAGACCCAGGGAACUGAAACAUCUAAGUACCUGGAGGAAGAGAAAGCAAAUGCGAUUUCCUGAGUAGCGGCGAGCGAAACGGAACAUAGCCCAAACCAAGAGGCUUGCCUCUUGGGGUUGUAGGACAUUCUAUACGGAGUUACAAAGGAACGAGGUAGACGAAGCGACCUGGAAAGGUCCGUCGUAGAGGGUAACAACCCCGUAGUCGAAACUUCGUUCUCUCUUGAAUGUAUCCUGAGUACGGCGGAACACGUGAAAUUCCGUCGGAAUCUGGGAGGACCAUCUCCCAAGGCUAAAUACUCCCUAGUGAUCGAUAGUGAACCAGUACCGUGAGGGAAAGGUGAAAAGCACCCCGGAAGGGGAGUGAAAGAGAUCCUGAAACCGUGUGCCUACAA